GAUGAACGCUGGCGGCGUGCUUAACACAUGCAAGUCGAACGAUGAAGCCCAGCUUGCUGGGUGGAUUAGUGGCGAACGGGUGAGUAACACGUGAGUAACCUGCCCUUAACUCUGGGAUAAGCCUGGGAAACUGGGUCUAAUACCGGAUAGGAGCGUCCACCGCAUGGUGGGUGUUGGAAAGAUUUAUCGGUUUUGGAUGGACUCGCGGCCUAUCAGCUUGUUGGUGAGGUAAUGGCUCACCAAGGCGACGACGGGUAGCCGGCCUGAGAGGGUGACCGGCCACACUGGGACUGAGACACGGCACAGACUCCUACGGGAGGCAGCAGUGGGGAAUAUUGCACAAUGGGCGCAAGCCUGAUGCAGCGACGCCGCGUGAGGGAUGACGGCCUUCGAGUUGUAAACCUCUUUCAGUAGGGAAGAAGCGAAAGUGACGGUACCUGCAGAAGAAGCACCGGCUAACUACGUG
RNAcentral lists this ribosomal RNA (466 nucleotides) under uncultured bacterium. RNAcentral's name for it is "partial 16S ribosomal RNA". It matches the Rfam family "Bacterial small subunit ribosomal RNA", at positions 28 to 507 of the family's 1533-position model. The record is from RNAcentral.